ACGGAGGAUCCAAGCGUUAUCCGGAUUUACUGGGUUUAAAGGGUGCGUAGGCGGAUUGAUAAGUCAGUGGUGAAAGCCUACAGCUUAACUGUAGAACUGCCAUUGAUACUGCCAGUCUGGAGUAUGGUUGAGGUAGCUGGAAUGUGACAUGUAGCGGUGAAAUGCUUAGAGCUGACGCGGAGCACCGAUGGCGAAGGCAGCUAACCAGGACAUUACUGACAGUGAGGCACGAAAGCGUGGGGAUCAAACAG
This 251-nucleotide ribosomal RNA is filed under the name uncultured prokaryote. RNAcentral describes it as "partial 16S rRNA". It matches the Rfam family "Bacterial small subunit ribosomal RNA", at positions 525 to 775 of the family's 1533-position model. The record is from RNAcentral.